UGUUAGUGUAAAAUUUUUGUCUAGAUUAGUAUUAGUUAAGUUCUUAAAAAUUAAAUAUAAUGGCGGUAUUUUAGUCUUUUCAGAGGAACCUGUCCUAUGAUUGAUAAUCCACGUUAAAAUAAACUUUUAUUAGAAAUCUAUAUAUCGUCGUUAAAAUUAUUUUUUUUGAAUUUAAAUAAUUGUAAUUUUUUUAAUAAAGUAAAUCAGAUCAAGGUGUAGUUUAUAUAAAAGGAGAGAUGGGUUACAAUAAUUUAAAAAUUUUGGUUUAUAAUUUGUAAAAUUAGUAAUAAAUUGGAUUUGAAAGUAAUUAAAUUUAAUUUUUUUUUAAUGAUUAAGCUCUAAAAUAUGC
RNAcentral lists this ribosomal RNA (349 nucleotides) under Diomus notescens. Its description in RNAcentral is "partial 12S ribosomal RNA". Lineage: Eukaryota; Metazoa; Arthropoda; Insecta; Coleoptera; Coccinellidae. The record is from RNAcentral.